AUCGAGAAUAAAAAGGAGAAAUCCUUAAAGUCUGAUGACGAAAAAGAAAAGAAGGUCAAGGUUAAGGAAGAUGAAGAUUCAAAAUCUGAAGGAAAGAACAAAAAAGAAAAGAAGAAAGAAGAGAAGCACAAGAAGAAGGAUGAAGCUAAAGAUGAAAAAGAAGCCAAAAAGAAGCACAAAGACAAGGAUGGAGCAGAGGAGGAAACAGAAGUGAACAAGAAGAAGGAUAAGGAAGGCAAGAAGAAAGAGAAAAAAGAUGCAAAGAAAGAUGAGAAACAUAAAGACGGGAAAUCUGAGGAGAAUGAUGGAGUGAAAGAAAAGAAAGGAAAGAAGAAAGAAGUUGAGGAUGAUGAAGAUUAUGAAAAAGAAGAGAAGAAACAGGAGAAAGUUAAGAAAGAUAAGGAGAAGGGCAAAGGUGAUGAUGUAGUGGAAGAGAAGAAAGUGAAGAAGGAAGUUGAGAAUGAAGAAGAGAAAGAAGAUGAUAGUAAAGAAGAGAAGAAAAAGAAGAAAGAAGAGAAGGCAGAGAAGGAAAAGAAGAAAAAGGACAAAGGUGAAGAAGAAGAUGAUGGUAAAGAAGAGAAGAAGAAGAAGAAAGGAGAGAAGGAAAAGGAGAAGAAG
Molecule: unclassified non-coding RNA, 618 nt
Filed under: Hevea brasiliensis (rubber tree)
Lineage: Eukaryota; Viridiplantae; Streptophyta; Magnoliopsida; Malpighiales; Euphorbiaceae
Source: RNAcentral